UAAUACCAAGAUUAUCUUGGCCACUGUGCAGAGUAUUCUGUUCUUCUAGGAAGAAGCCAUGUUCUUCUGCCCCUGGGGCACCACUCCACAGUUCCCAGCCACCAACCAGGCAGUUCAGUUUUUUGUUUUUCUAUUGUUUUUGUUGCUUUUCUGUAUCACUCAAGGUUUAACUGUUAAUUUUCAUGGCCAUGUGGGAGGCCACAGAGCGGUCAGCUAUCGUGCUCGGAAAGUGCUGACUAUGCAAAUGCGGAUCCUGAGACCGUGGACCGUAUACAGCGAACUCACCACACGCCCUCUUCUAGGGGCAGUACACUCGAUUCGAAAGAUCUGGGAUGAGUGAGCCUCCCAUAUAAGGUAAAUUCACGCCCAUGCUACCACUGUGCACAUCUCUCAUACGACCCCCCAUGAAAAAAUAUGUUCACUGAACAUUAAGGGAUUAAAUAUCCCAGUAAAAAGGAAUUUAUUGGGGAGGGAACUCAUACCAGAGAGGGCUGAUGUGGUGUGCCUGCAAGAGACACACUACAGGACAAAUAACCACCCCAACACGCUGCAGACAUGAUACCCCUGGCAGUUUCAUUCUACUGCACCCACAAAAUCAAAAGGGGCAUUAAUCCUGAUCAGCAAUUCUAUAGCCUUCACAUUACAGGUGGAAGAUAUAGAUGACCAGGGACGAUACGUCAUAAUCACAGGUCUCUUCAACAACAUGCUCUACACAAUUGCUAACAUCUACGCACCAAACAACAGCCAGAAAAAACGUCUUACGUAGCAUACUACAAAAACUGUCACGCAUACAGCAGGGGAUAACGGUCAUAUGUGGGAACUUUAACCAAGUCCUUGAUCCCACUGUUGACACAACUUUAUCUAGACAUAGCAACAGAUUUAGAACCCUUAAGAAACAAUGUAAACAGUUACAAAAACUCCUUUUCUUCCACCACAUGUAUGACAUUUGGAGAAUUGCACAUAUGGGCGAAUGCGCUUACACUCACUUCUCCCCAGUGCACAAUUCAUAUUCAAGGAUAGACAGGUUCUUAAUGCACGGGACAGCCCUGUCUCAAGUAGUGAAGUGUGACUUAGGAGACAUAACAUGGUCGGACCACGUGCUGGUUACGCUGGAACUAAAAGACCAAUAUGACUUUAAGCACCGAAGCCCCUGGAGAAUACAAUCCACAAUGUUACAUGACACAACUUUUAUACACAACCUGAGGAGCGCACUCCAACACUACUUUACAGAGAAUGACACACUGGGUAUCUCCCCCAGCACUAUAUGGGCUGUGCACAAAGCUGUAGCUAGGGGAAUUCUUAAAGUGGCAGAAGGAACUUUACCACCUGAACGCCCAAAACCAGAUUAACCCAUCACAAGACUUAAAAUCUAAAAUUGCCCAAGUAACUAGGAAUCUGCAUCAGCAUGCCUUAGAUAAAACAGGGCUCUACCUAUGAGAACUCAGGGCCACCUCCUUUGCCCAGGGAAACAAAGCUGGC
Molecule: non-coding RNA, 1479 nt
Organism: Pelobates cultripes (western spadefoot toad)
Lineage: Eukaryota; Metazoa; Chordata; Amphibia; Anura; Pelobatidae
Source: the annotation of a GenBank genome assembly